GGCGGUGUAGCUCAGUCGGUUAGAGCAGCGGAAUCAUAAUCCGCGUGUCGGGGGUUCGAUUCCCUCCACCGCUACCA
RNAcentral lists this transfer RNA (77 nucleotides) under Candidatus Latescibacterota bacterium. RNAcentral's name for it is "tRNA-Met". It matches the Rfam family "tRNA". From Rfam's summary of the family: Transfer RNA (tRNA) molecules are approximately 80 nucleotides in length. The record is from RNAcentral. RNAcentral also lists the same sequence under 1 other name. Lineage: Bacteria; Pseudomonadati; Candidatus Latescibacterota.